CCUACGGGCGGCAGCAGUGAGGAAUAUUGGUCAAUGGCCUUAAGGCUGAACCAGCCAAGUCGCGUGAGGGAAGAAUGACCUAUGGGUUGUAAACUUCUUUUAUAGGGGAGUAAAGGUAUCCACGUGUGGCUAUUUUCAUAUUCCCUAUGAAUAAGCAUCGGCUAACUCCGUUCCAGCAGCCGCGGUAAUACGGAGGAUGCGAGCGUUAUCCGGGUUUAUUGGGUUUAAAGGGUGAGUAGGUUGUUUUUUAAGUCAGCGGGUAAAGUGUGGGGCUCAACCAUCAAAUUGCCGUUGAAACUGGAAGACUUGAGUGUGCUUGAGGUAGGCGGAAUGCGUGGUGUAGCGGUGAAAUGCAUAGAUAUCACGCAGAACUCCGAUUGCGAAGGCAGCUUACUAAGCCACAACUGACACUGAAGCACGAAAGCGUGGGGAUCGAACAGGAUUAGAUACCCCAGUAGUC
Molecule: ribosomal RNA, 460 nt
Filed under: uncultured bacterium
Lineage: Bacteria
Description: partial 16S ribosomal RNA
Rfam family: Bacterial small subunit ribosomal RNA
Source: RNAcentral